Molecule: ribosomal RNA, 254 nt
Filed under: uncultured bacterium
Lineage: Bacteria
Description: partial 16S ribosomal RNA
Rfam family: Bacterial small subunit ribosomal RNA
Source: RNAcentral
UACGGAGGGAGCUAGCGUUGUUCGGAAUUACUGGGCGUAAAGCGCACGUAGGCGGCUUUGUAAGUUAGAGGUGAAAGCCCGGAGCUCAACUCCGGAACUGCCUUUAAGACUGCAUCGCUUGAAUCCAGGAGAGGUGAGUGGAAUUCCGAGUGUAGAGGUGAAAUUCGUAGAUAUUCGGAAGAACACCAGUGGCGAAGGCGGCUCACUGGACUGGUAUUGACGCUGAGGUGCGAAAGCGUGGGGAGCAAACGGGG